GCUAGAAGGACUCCUAAGUGUUGUAGGACACAAAUGAGAAGUUUCUAGAAAGUUUCCAUCCUUGCUGUGGGUUUCAUGCAAUUCCUAUCAGUUUUGGGGCUUUCUAGAAGCCCUAUCCUUAAUCCCUACUUUGGUGCCGCACCCUAGCUUCUAGAUACCUUAAUUCCUUGCCUUGCAAGGCAUUCUAGAAACCUUAUCACCUUAUCCCAUUGCUGCCGCACCCUUAUCCCUUUUCCUUGCAAAAUCUGAUUGUUUAGACCUAUUUCCUUGUGGAUUUGG
Molecule: long non-coding RNA, 279 nt
Filed under: Malus domestica (apple)
Lineage: Eukaryota; Viridiplantae; Streptophyta; Magnoliopsida; Rosales; Rosaceae
Description: long non-coding RNA (MDOM_LNC015074)
Source: RNAcentral